UACGGGGGGGGCAAGCGUUGUUCGGAAUUAUUGGGCGUAAAGCGCGCGCAGGUGGUUUCUUAAGUCUGAUGUGAAAGCCCACGGCUCAACCGUGGAGGGUCAUUGGAAACUGGGGAACUUCAGUGCAGAAGAGGAAAGUGGAAUUCCAAGUGUAGCGGUGAAAUGCGUAGAGAUUUGGAGGAACACCAGUGGCGAAGGCGACUUUCUGGUCUGUAACUGACACUGAGGCGCGAAAGCGUGGGGAGCAAACAGG
RNAcentral lists this ribosomal RNA (253 nucleotides) under uncultured bacterium. RNAcentral describes it as "partial 16S ribosomal RNA". It matches the Rfam family "Bacterial small subunit ribosomal RNA", at positions 524 to 776 of the family's 1533-position model. The record is from RNAcentral.